RNAcentral lists this ribosomal RNA (490 nucleotides) under uncultured bacterium. Its description in RNAcentral is "partial 16S ribosomal RNA". It matches the Rfam family "Bacterial small subunit ribosomal RNA", at positions 30 to 507 of the family's 1533-position model. The record is from RNAcentral.
AUUGAACGCUGGCGGCAGGCCUAACACAUGCAAGUCGAACGGUAACAGGAAACAGCUUGCUGUUUCGCUGACGAGUGGCGGACGGGUGAGUAAUGUCUGGGAAACUGCCUGAUGGAGGGGGAUAACUACUGGAAACGGUAGCUAAUACCGCAUAGCGUCGCAAGACCAAAGAGGGGGACCCUCGGGCCUCUUGCCAUCGGAUGUGCCCAGAUGGGAUUAGCUUGUUGGUGGGGUAACGGCUCACCAAGGCGACGAUCCGUAGCUGGUCUGAGAGGAUGACCAGCCACACUAGAACUGAGACACGGGCCAGACUCCUACGGGAGGCAGCAGUGAGGAAUAUUGAACAGUAGGCGCAAGCCUGAUGAAUCCAUGCCGCGAGUAUGAAGAAGGCCUUCGGGUUGUAAAGUACUUUCAGCGGGGAGGAAGGGAGUAAAGUUAAUACCUAUGCUCAUUGACGUUACCCGCAGAAGAAGCACCGGCUAACUACGUG